GGGUAGGUGGCGAAAUUGGUAUACGCAUCACACUCAAAAUGUGACAACUAGUGUUAUGAGGGUUCGAGUCCCUCUCUACCCA
RNAcentral lists this transfer RNA (82 nucleotides) under Yamadaella caenomyce. RNAcentral's name for it is "tRNA-Leu". It matches the Rfam family "tRNA". From Rfam's summary of the family: Transfer RNA (tRNA) molecules are approximately 80 nucleotides in length. Their secondary structure includes four short double-helical elements and three loops (D, anti-codon, and T loops). Further hydrogen bonds mediate the characteristic L-shaped molecular structure. tRNAs have two regions of fundamental functional importance: the anti-codon, which is responsible for specific mRNA codon recognition, and the 3' end, to which the tRNAs corresponding amino acid is attached (by aminoacyl-tRNA synthetases). tRNAs cope with the degeneracy of the genetic code in two manners: having more than one tRNA (with a specific anti-codon) for a particular amino acid; and 'wobble' base-pairing, i.e. permitting non-standard base-pairing at the 3rd anti-codon position. Lineage: Eukaryota; Rhodophyta; Florideophyceae; Nemaliales; Liagoraceae. The record is from RNAcentral.